This is a non-coding RNA of Delphinapterus leucas (beluga whale), 2724 nucleotides long. The record is from RefSeq and is a predicted model, not a curated record. Lineage: Eukaryota; Metazoa; Chordata; Mammalia; Artiodactyla; Monodontidae.
AGAUCUAAUAUUAUCAAAACUUACAUGAGAAAAGAUAUUGCUUUAUUCCUGAAUACUGGCUGGGGUAGAAAAGAAUUUUCCUUGGAAUGUAAACUUUGGAGCUGGUAUUUUUAAGGGCCCAAUAAACAUACUGAUGCUCUUGAUGUUCAGUCAGUUGAGCAGACUGAAUGUUUCUGCUGUUAACCAUUCUUUAUGGAAAUGAUCUUAGUCACAGAAUACUAAUAAAAUUGGCCUGAUCACUGCAUUCAGAAAGGUUUUUUAAAUACCCUCAUAUAUGAUAUAUAGUUAGUGAGAUUAAGAAAAUGAAUCUGUCAACCUUGCAGAUUAAGCUUGAGCUUCUAUGCAUUUUGUUCCUCCUGGAAGAUGUCAAACCAUAGGUAAAAAUCUCCCCUAAGUAAGAAUGUUUUCUCUAGGGAUACAAAGCUAAGUUUGAAAACGUAAGUGAGUUCAAUUCCUUAAUGUCAGUUUGGAGCAUGUAGUUAAUAUGUUGAAAUGGUAUGAGAAAAACACGCUACUUGUCUGUGGGAAAUAAAAUCACGGUAGCAAAAAGGACGCCGAAGACAGCAAAGCACAAAAGCAUAGCGAAAGGUACUUGGGCAGCUUUGAGGUUCUCUGUGAUGUAGGAUGCUUUCUUGUUUUGUUAAGAAUAGGAUAUUUAGGCAACCAGUAGUUCUCAACCCCUUUCUUUGUCAGCAUACAUGGUGUAUCCAUCCUUUUGCAUGUUUGACCCACUCAGGCUUUGGCCUAGUUGAGAGGCUAUAGUCUCUGCAUGAGUCUCACUGUAACGCCACCUUUUUUUUUUCUCCCACAAACUUAAGGCACACUGUCUUGCAGAAUACCAAGGUUGAGAACCACUAUGUUAUUAAACUGAGCAUAAAAUUCAUACAAAAUCUGGAAUUCACCUAUGAGUGAUGGCUUUUAUCACUUUUACCUUACCAAAUGGAAGGUAGCUUAUUAACAGCCAAUAUGUAUGUUUCCUUGUGUUCUAGGAAUAAAGGAAAACAUAAUUUUAGAUGUCUUGUUCAGAAGAAAAAAAAUAGUUUAUAAGAUAUAUGAACUAUAGUAUAUAAGAUAUAUGAACUAUCUCUGUGGUUCUAGAUUUUUAUGUAUUUUUAGUUCCAUAAAGCCAAUUGAAAGAUGUAUCUUCAGCAGUGCAUAUAUUCAGUAAGCCUCAGAUUCUGUUUACUCUUUUGCUGUUUUCUUUCCUAACGUGCUACUGUACACUUCCUGGUUAUACCUUGCAGCAAGUUGAGCUUUAUUUUUUUCCUAAAAGGAAAUAAUUUUUUCUCUUUCUGCUUAUCAGAAUAUCCAUGCUUAUGAUAAGAAAUUUAGACAGUAUAGAAGGUAUGAAGAAUGUAAAAAUUAAGUUGAUGAGAUAAUUUUUUUAAUCAGAAUUACUUUGAAUCAUUUUGGUUUUUAAAAUAGCCUUCAUAACAUUUAUCCUCUUUACUUCGACCAUCCUGUUAUUUACUUAGUAUCCCAGCCUUAAUUUAUGCAUAGUGUUGAAACUACUCUAAUGCUUGAAAACUAAAACAGUUCCUCCAGAUUGCUCAAUAUGGUAAAUAUCAUUGGAUAAACAAAUUUGUUGUUGUUGUCUAAGUCUGAGAAUGUUAAAGCUUUUUUUUUCCCUACCGUGGCUUCUAGUGUUGUAAGCACGUUUUGCCUUUUUAAAUAUUUACAUUGUUUAUUAACAAAGGAAAAAACUGAUCCUCCUGUAAAUAACUUGAUAAAAACUUGAAUUUCCCAUUAGAGUUAAAAGAUGUAUGCUUGAGUCCAUAUACUGGGGAAAUUAAGUUAUGGGAAAGGAUUACACACACCCUCUUUUUUUUUUAUGUGUUUUCACAAGGUUCCAGUGAGGACUGGGAAGAAGAGUGUAUAUUUCCAAGGUCAAAUUAUCAGAGUCGAAGCAUUUUUUCCCAGAAUGUAGGAAUAGUGUAGAAAACAGUUCAGUGUUUAUAUGUUUAUGUACUACUUUUUUACAAGAGUAAAGAAUACUAGUUAUUAUGAUUAUUAAACUAGAAACUUGAAGUUUCACUGAAAUCAGCUUUUUCUACAUUAGAAAGUUUAAAAUAAACCUGUAAAAGGCAAAAAGUUUCUGAGACCUUGGAGACUUAAACUGGUUCUGAUCUCAUUUUUUUUCCUUUCCACUGAAUAUGUCCUCUUGGAAACGGAUGUCUUCCCUGGCCAAAGAUUGAGCCACUAACGUGUCUUGCAGAUGUGUACUCUUGAUCACGAGGAACCUAUUUGACAGAGGAAGACAUGUUCACAAGUGAGGAAAAUUGUCUUUAUUCUCUGUCAUUAGGCAGACCCAGAUAUGAAUUUCACAUGAAUGACCGUUGCUUAUUUUUCAAAUUUGUAUUUUCAUUGUGUUAAUUUUAAUGUCUGAAAAGUACGAAGAAUAUCUGUAUUAAAUAGUAAAUAACUGAAGUAUAAAAUGUGUUAGCAUUCUAAGUAAGAGGAAUUCAAAAUAAGGUUUAACCUUUGAUUUAACACUGCCUCUCAUAGGUGGAUUUUUUUUCAUCUAAAGGAAGCUGAGAUAAUUCACAGGCUUUCCCAAGAUUCCUCCAUUACUUGUUACAGUCAAUUUGAAAUGGAAACACCCUACUGGUUUUCAGAAAAAUAAAUUGUGGCCACCUCAGAACAUCAAAUACCUUUCCCUUUUUCAGUAUCUUCUAUAGCUAAUAAAAUGAAUGAACACUGUCAGAAUUCUACCAAUUCUGUUAA